RNAcentral lists this ribosomal RNA (709 nucleotides) under Arthrobacter sp. BAR63. RNAcentral's name for it is "bacterial SSU rRNA". It matches the Rfam family "Bacterial small subunit ribosomal RNA", at positions 108 to 832 of the family's 1533-position model. Lineage: Bacteria; Bacillati; Actinomycetota; Actinomycetes; Micrococcales; Micrococcaceae. The record is from RNAcentral.
GAGUAACACGUGAGUCACCUGCCCUUAACUCUGGGAUAAGCCUGGGAAACUGAGGUCUAAUACCGGAUAUGACUCCUCAUCGCAGGGUGGGGGGUGGAAAGCUUUAUUGUGGUUUUGGAUGGACUCGCGGCCUAUCAGCUUGUUGGUGAGGUAAUGGCUCACCAAGGCGACGACGGGUAGCCGGCCUGAGAGGGUGACCGGCCACACUGGGACUGAGACACGGCCCACACUCCUACGGGAGGCAGCAGUGGGGAAUAUUGCACAAUGGGCGAAAGCCUGAUGCACCCACGCCGCGUGAGGGAUGACGGCCUUCGGGUUGUAAACCUCUUUCAGUAAGGAAGAAACGAAAGUGACGGUACCUGCAGAAGAAGCGCCGGCUAACUACGUGCCAGCAGCCGCGGUAAUACGUAGGGCGCAAGCGUUAUCCGGAAUUAUUGGGCGUAAAGAGCUCGUAGGCGGUUUGUCGCGUCUGCCGUGAAAGUCCGGGGCUCAACUCCGGAUCUGCGGUGGGUACGGGCAGACUAGAGUGAUGUAGGGGAGACUGGAAUUCCUGGUGUAGCGGUGAAAUGCGCAUAUUUCAGGAGGAACACCGAUGGCGAAGGCGGUCUCUGGGCUUAACUGACGCUAAGGAGCGAAGCAUGGGGAGCGAACAAGAUAAAUACCCUGGUAAUCCAUGCCGUAAACGUUGGGCACUAGGGGGGGGGACAUU